AUUGAACGCUGGCGGCAUGCCUUACACAUGCAAGUCGAACGGUAACAGGUCUUCGGAUGCUGACGAGUGGCGAACGGGUGAGUAAUACAUCGGAACGUGCCUAGUAGUGGGGGAUAACUACUCGAAAGAGUGGCUAAUACCGCAUGAGAUCUACGGAUGAAAGCAGGGGAUCGCAAGACCUUGUGCUACUAGAGCGGCCGAUGGCAGAUUAGGUAGUUGGUGGGAUAAAAGCUUACCAAGCCGACGAUCUGUAGCUGGUCUGAGAGGACGAUCAGCCACACUGGGACUGAGACACGGCCCAGACUCCUACGGGAGGCAGCAGUGGGGAAUUUUGGAUAAUGGGCGCAAGCCUGAUCCAGCAAUGCCGCGUGCAGGAUGAGGGCCUUCGGGUUGUAAACUGCUUUUGUACGGAACGAAAAGCCCCGGGUUAAUACCCUGGGGUCAUGACGGUACCGUAAGAAUAAGCACCGGCUAACUACGUGCCAGCCGCCGCAGUAA
RNAcentral lists this ribosomal RNA (498 nucleotides) under uncultured bacterium. Its description in RNAcentral is "partial 16S ribosomal RNA". It matches the Rfam family "Bacterial small subunit ribosomal RNA", at positions 30 to 523 of the family's 1533-position model. The record is from RNAcentral.